UCCUGGUUAACCCAGGCAGUCUCGCUAGAGUGCCCACCAUCACGUGUUGGCAACUAACGACAAGGGUUGCGCUCGUUGCGGGACUUAACCCAACACCUCACGGCACGAGCUGACGACAGCCAUGCAGCACCUGUGCACCUGUCUCUUGCGAGAACACCACAUCUCUGUGGCUGUCAGGUGCAUGUCAAGCCCAGGUAAGGUUCUUCGCGUUGCAUCGAAUUAAACCACAUGCUCCACUGCUUGUGCGGGUCCCCGUCAAUUCUUUUGAGUUUUACCCUUGCGAGCGUACUCCCCAGGCGGUAUACUUAUCGCGUUAGCUACGGUACUGUCAGGGUUGAGCCCAACAACACCAAGUAUACAUCGUUUAGGGCAAGGACUAC
RNAcentral lists this unclassified non-coding RNA (380 nucleotides) under uncultured Chlamydiales bacterium. Its description in RNAcentral is "contains 16S-23S intergenic spacer region". The record is from RNAcentral. Lineage: Bacteria; Pseudomonadati; Chlamydiota; Chlamydiia; Chlamydiales.